This 498-nucleotide ribosomal RNA is filed under the name uncultured bacterium. RNAcentral describes it as "partial 16S ribosomal RNA". It matches the Rfam family "Bacterial small subunit ribosomal RNA", at positions 30 to 523 of the family's 1533-position model. The record is from RNAcentral.
AUUGCACGCUGGCGGCAUGCCUUACACAUGCAAGUCGAACGGUAACAGGUCUUCGGAUGCUGCCGAGUGGCGAAGGGGUGGGUAAUACAUGGGAACGUGCCUAGUAGUGGGGGAUAACUACUCGAUAGAGUGGCUAAUACAGCAUGAAAUCUACGGAUGAAUGCAGGGUAUCGCAAGACGUUGUGCUACUAGAGCGGCGGAUGGCGGAUUAGGUAGUUGGUGGGAUAAAGGCUUACCAAGGCGACGAUCUGUAGCUGGUCUGAGAGGAUGAUCAGUCACACUGGAACUGAGACACGGCCCAGACUCCUACGGGAGGCAGCAGUGGGGAAUAUUGGACAAUGGGCGCAAGCCUGAUCCAGCAAUGCCGCGUGCAGGAUGAAGGCCUUCGGGUUGUAAACUGCUUUUGGACGGAACGAAAAGCCGUUGGUUAAUACCCUGGGGUCAUGACGGUACCGUAAGAAUAAGCACCGGCUAACUACGUGCCAGCCGCCGCCGUAA